GCUGCUGCUGCUGCUGCUGGCGGCAAAAGGGGCUGAAUUGUGAUUAAGAGGGAGAAGAAGAAGAAGGAGAAGAAGAAGAAGUAGGAAGAGAAGCUCCUUUUCUUUGUUCUCCCCCUGGGGGAUGUUUACCAGGAGAGACGCGGCGGAUCAGAUAUGAAAGGCAUUCAGAGAGAGAGAGAAGCCCCCUGAAACGCACGCCACCUAUCUUCACGGGAGGGGAUAAUUGAGGAGCCAAACGGGGAUAAAAAAAAAAGGUGGAAGAUCACUGGGAUGUUCGGAACAAGAGACUCCAUCCCGUCUGACUCCUCAAAUGCAGUCCCCCCCCCCCCCCCCAUCGAGCGCGUGCUCGUGCACGUCCCCCCCCCCUUUCCAUAAGCCCCACCCUCGCCUUGCCCUGAUUGGUUAUGUAAAUAAAGCGUUAUAAGGCGUCCUGUCCUCCUUCAGUUCGCCACUGUUUGGCUAAUUAAAUCAUCAAUCAGGGGGCUGAACUGGUCCCCCCCCCUCACACCAACCGGCAACCCCCCCGCCCCUUCUUUCCCAUUUCCCAUUGGACCCCCCCAUCACAAAAACUGCUUAGUUUAGUUGGGAUUAACUCUUAUAAAUCGUCAUUUUUGUGUGCAAAAAGUCACCUUUUUUUUCACGAAGAGGAGGAUGAGGAGGAUGAGGAGGCCCGGGACGAAGCAGAGGAGCGUUGUCAUGCGCCCGCACCUCGCCUCGCCGCGCCUCUGUGGGGGCGGCAUUCCCACCGUGAAACAGGAUUACAGUCCUGCGUGACCUACGGGGGGGCGCAUGAAUACAUCACUAUUAUUGAGGAGGUAUUGAUUUUCGGUUGUUGUGUUCUUUAUACAUAAAAAACCCUCAAUAUUUAAAUUGUGUUUGUUUUGAUUUUCAAAAUCAAAGAUUUUUUUUUUUUUAGAGGAGGAAAAAAAAAACCAAUUACUUGGAUUAUAAUCCUAAUUUCCUAAUUGGGAUGCACCAACCUUCUGCAGAAAAAAAGAUGCAGAAAUCUGGAGGAUCGGCGCGGUUCUGUUUGUGUGCAGAGUGAAACUUUGGCCGGAUUUCAAGUUGGAAGAUCUACCUCAGUUCCAGGUACGCCAGGUUGCCUCGUCAAUCUAUACGACAAUCAUCAACGAGGCCUUCACUUUGAACCAAUAGCUAUACAGCCUGGUUUCUUAGCCAAUUACAAUAUUUUCAUUUCUGAAGGGCCAAACUCAUGACUGAUUACCUAGUUCAGGUGCGUACAGCCAAUUAGAACACGCCAGAGCCUUGGAGACUAGUAGUUAUAGUGGCUAGUAGCUGCAGUGGCUAGUAUUACUAGUGGCAUGUACCCUUUAGUUCCUAUUUGCUUAAACAGCUAGUCAUUUAGGUGGCUAGUACCUCUACAGGCUAGUACCAUAAGCGUCUGGGAGCUUUAGUGGCUAGUACCCGUAGUAGCUCUAGCAACUACUACCGUUAGUUGCUAGUACCUUUAGCAGCUUUAUUGGCUAGUAUCUUUAGUGGUCUGUACCAUUACCAGCUGUUGGCUUUUAGGGGCUGCUAUCUUUAGUAGCUAGUACCUCUAAAGGGCUAGUGUCAUUAGCAUAUAGUAACUAAAGUGCCUACUAGAUUUAGCAGCUAGCACCUUUAGUGGGUAAUACUUUUAGUGGCUAGUAGGUUUAGUGGUAAGUACCAUUUGCGGCUGGUAACUUGAGAAAGUAGUGCCAUUCACGGCUGGUAGAUUUAUUGGUUAGUACCAUUUGGGGCUGGUAAAUUUAUUGGUUAGUACCAUUCACGGCUGGUAGAUUUAUUGGUUAGUACCAUUCACGGCUGGUAGAUUUAUUGGUUAGUACCAUUUGGGGCUGGUAAAUUUAUUGGUUAGUACCAUUCACGGCUGGUAGAUUUAUUGGUUAGUACCAUUCACGGCUGGUAGAUUUAUUGGUUAGUACCAUUUGGGGCUGGUAAAUUUAUUGGUUAGUACCAUUCACGGCUGGUAGAUUUAUUGGUUAGUACCAUUUGGGGCUGGUAGAUUUAUUGGUUAGUACCAUUUGCGGCUGGUAGCUUUAGUGACUUGUAGGUUGUUGGUUAGUACUUUUCCCGUCUGAUAGUUUUAGCAGUUAGUAACAGUAGUCUUUUAGUCUUUGUCGUUUAACUAAACCUCAACUUUUGAGAAAAUCUCCCAAGAUUCACCUGAAGCACUUCAGACGUUUGGCAUUCACCAUGAAGUUUUCUCAAUAAAAUGACACAAUUUAGAAGAGAAUGACUUCAUUCAUCAAGCCUAUGGAGCAUUACGAUCUGAUAAGUAAAGGAAAAUUCAAAUUCAAACUUUGUGUUUGUCUGUAAACUUUCUAUUACUUUCAAUAAAACAAUAGACCACUGGUUUAUUUAAUCAGGGUUUUAAGAAAUGAGAACAUUUUUCGCUGCUGAAAGUCAUGAUCUUUCCUUUUUCUGAGUCUCCUUUGUGCUGUGACUUCCAAUGAAAGCCAGACAAUGGUAAUGGGUUCAAAGCAACGAGCUUCUGAUCCAAACUUCGGAAAGUUUUGAUUUGAUUUGACAACUUCUCCUUAAACAGAGCUUGAAUUGAUUGAAGUGGUCAAUGCUCUUUUUAAACAACACCAGGGCCAAUCCAAACACGCAGAGCGCAGACACAAAGAGCCGGCCCACAUACGGAAUAUUUGAUGUGUACAGUCGAAGACGUCUGAUCCGGUCUGCGCGCAGAAAAAGCGCCACCAAAACAAAUCCUGCGCGUUUACGACGCUUCCGGGCCAAAACGGUUUUGAUUGGGACGCUGAUUGAUCCCACAAGGAAACUUCUCACUCAGAAAAGAAAAAGAAGAAAAAGGAGACUUUAUCGCUCACCAAAAUGAAUAAUUGACUGCAUUUCUGCUGAAUAAUUAAUCAAGCAUUUGAAUAAUUGUUUGCGCUCUAAUCUUGACAGACAUUUGCAUAUCUGCAUGUUCUUACUGUCUGACUCCGUCUACGGGGUUACGUCCCAUCAGGACACAAAGGCGGGAUAAAAAAAUAAACAGAUAUCCACAGAUGUCCGUCGGUUCACGGACCUCACCUGCUUCUGUUGGCGACGUUCGUGAUUUGACACCCCCAGCGUGCCAGAUUCUCCUGAAUUCCCAGUGACCACCGAAGAAAAUCGGACUUCCAGAGAAGUUGUCUUUGAUUUUUCCCAGUGUGAGACAGGAAAUUCCCCGCGGUCAGUGAAUGGAGCAACUGAUGCAGCAGCUCCCAAUCAGAGCAUUUCCAUGUCAAAACGCUCUGGGAGCAUGGCGAGUCGGCGGCUCGUACCGAGAGGGUGACCAUAAACUCGGAAAAGUGUGUGCCAUGUGAUCCCUCACUUGAAGGAAACCAGAUCUUACUUUCGGUUUUUCUUGGUUUGAAUGAAGAGCAGACGCGUGUGAGUGGAGACAGAUGAGAAAACCACAAUUAAAAAUGUCCAAAUG
This is a non-coding RNA of Oryzias latipes (Japanese medaka), 3427 nucleotides long. Lineage: Eukaryota; Metazoa; Chordata; Actinopteri; Beloniformes; Adrianichthyidae. The record is from RefSeq and is a predicted model, not a curated record.